UACGGGGGGGGCAAGCGUUGUUCGGAAUUAUUGGGUUUAAAGGGUGCGUAGGCGGCCUAUUAAGUCAGUGGUGAAAUAUCUCAGCUCAACUGAGAGUGUGCCAAUGAUACUGAUGGGCUUGAGUACAGAUGAGGUAGGCGGAAUUGACGGUGUAGCGGUGAAAUGCUUAGAUAUCGUCAAGAACACCUAUAGCGAAGGCAGCUUACUAGGCUGUAACUGACGCUGAGGCACGAAAGUGUGGGGAUCAAACAGG
RNAcentral lists this ribosomal RNA (253 nucleotides) under uncultured bacterium. RNAcentral describes it as "partial 16S ribosomal RNA". It matches the Rfam family "Bacterial small subunit ribosomal RNA", at positions 524 to 776 of the family's 1533-position model. The record is from RNAcentral.